Long non-coding RNA from Eriocheir sinensis (Chinese mitten crab), 1273 nucleotides. RefSeq lists it as uncharacterized. Lineage: Eukaryota; Metazoa; Arthropoda; Malacostraca; Decapoda; Varunidae. The transcript has 4 exons. The record is from RefSeq and is a predicted model, not a curated record.
CUAACAAAACCCCAAACAGUCACUAUAGGUCUUAGAAAAUUCAUAUAUGCUUCCUUACUAAUGAGACUUUCUAUACAACAAAGUGAGGUCAUUCUGUGUUGAUUCAUACCAUAAGGUGCUGGCUAUCAUGUGUUUGAAGAUACCCUAAACUUAACCUAACCUAACCUAACAAAACACCAAACAGUCACUAUAGGUCUUGACUCAGAAAAUUCAUAUAUGCUUCCUUACUAAUGAGACUUUCUAUACAACAAAGUGAGGUCAUUCUUUGUUGAUUCAUACCAUAAGGUGCUGGCUAUCAUGUGUUUGAAGAUACCCUAAACUUAACCUAACCUAACCUAACAAAACCCCAAACAGUCACUAUAGGUCUUGACUCAGAAAAUUCAUAUAUGCUUCCUUACUAAUGAGACUUUCUAUACAACAAAGUGAGGUCAUUCUGUGUUGAUUCAUACCAUAAGGUGCUGGCUAUCAUGUGUUUGAAGAUACCCUAAACUUAACCUAACCUAACCUAACAAAACCCCAAACAGUCACUAUAGGUCUUGACUCAGAAAAUUCAUAUAUGCUUCCUUACUAAUGAGACUUUCUAUACAACAAAGUGAGGUCAUUCUUUGUUGAUUCAUACCAUAAGGUGCUGGCUGUCAUGUGUUUGAAGAUACCCUAAACUUAACCUAACAAAACCCCAAACAGUCACUAUAGGUCUUGACUCAGAAAAUUCAUAUAUGCUUCCUUACUAAUGAGACUUUCUAUACAACAAAGUGAGGUCAUUCUGUGUUGAUUCAUACCAUAAGGUGCUGGCUAUCAUGUGUUUGAAGAUACCCUAAACUUAACCUAACCUAACCUAACAAAACCCCAAACAGUCACUAUAGGUCUUGACUCAGAAAAUUCAUAUAUGCUUCCUUACUAAUGAGACUUUCUAUACAACAAAGUGAGGUCAUUCUGUGUUGAUUCAUACCAUAAGGUGCUGGCUAUCAUGUGUUUGAAGAUACCCUAAACUUAACCUAACAAAACCCCAAACAGUCACUAUAGGUCUUGACUCAGAAAAUUCAUAUAUGCUUCCUUACUAAUGAGACUUUCUAUACAACAAAGUGAGGUCAUUCUUUGUUGAUUCAUACCAUAAGGUGCUGGCUAUCAUGUGUUUGAAGAUACCCUAAACUUAACCUAACCUAACCUAACAAAACCCCAAACAGUCACUAUAGGUCUUGACUCAGAAAAUUCAUAUAUGCUUCCUUACUAAUGAGACUUUCUAUACAACAAAGUGAGGUCAUUCUUUGUUGAU